This 492-nucleotide ribosomal RNA is filed under the name uncultured bacterium. Its description in RNAcentral is "partial 16S ribosomal RNA". It matches the Rfam family "Bacterial small subunit ribosomal RNA", at positions 29 to 507 of the family's 1533-position model. The record is from RNAcentral.
AGUGAACGCUGGCGGUAGGCCUAACACAUGCAAGUCGAACGGCAGCACAGUAAGAGCUUGCUCUUACGGGUGGCGAGUGGCGGACGGGUGAGGAAUACAUCGGAAUCUACUUUUUCGUGGGGGAUAACGUAGGGAAACUUACGCUAAUACCGCAUACGACCUACGGGUGAAAGCAGGGGAUCUUCGGACCUUGCGCGAUUGAAUGAGCCGAUGUCGGAUUAGCUAGUUGGCGGGGUAAAGGCCCACCAAGGCGACGACCCGUAGCUGGUCUGAGAGGAUGAUCAGCCACACUGGAACUGAGACACGGUCCAGACUCCUACGGGAGGCAGCAGUGGGGAAUAUUGGACAAUGGGCGCAGGCCUGAUCCAGCCAUACCGCGUGGGUGAAGAAGGCCUUCGGGUUGUAAAGCCCUUUUGUUGGGAAAGAAAAGCAGCAGGUUAAUACCCCGCUGUUCUGACGGUACCCAAAGAAUAAGCACCGGCUAACUUCGUG